UUAGUAGGUUGGUCAUGCCUCUGGUAUGUACUGGUCUCACCGACUCCUCCUUCCUGAUGAACCGUAAUGCCAUUAAUUUGGUGUUGCGGGGAAUUUGGACUGUUACUUUGAGAAAAUUAGAGUGUUUAAAGCAGGCUAACGCUUGAAUACAUUAGCAUGGAAUAAUGAAAUAGGACGUUCGAUCCUAUUUUGUUGGUUUCUAGGAUUGACGUAAUGAUUAGUAGGGAUAGUUGGGGGCAUUAGUAUUCAAUUGUCAGAGGUGAAAUUCUUGGAUUUAUGAAAGACUAACUACUGCGAAAGCAUUUGCCAAGGAUGUUUUCAUUAAUCAAGAACGAAAGUUAGGGGAUCGAAGACGAUCAGAUACCGUCGUAGUCUUAACCAUAAACUAUGCCGACUAGGGAUCAGACAAGGAUCUUUUGACUUGUUCGGCGCCUUACGGGAAAC
This 444-nucleotide ribosomal RNA is filed under the name uncultured Glomus. RNAcentral's name for it is "SSU rRNA". It matches the Rfam family "Eukaryotic small subunit ribosomal RNA", at positions 647 to 1098 of the family's 1831-position model. The record is from RNAcentral. Lineage: Eukaryota; Fungi; Glomeromycota; Glomeromycetes; Glomerales; Glomeraceae.